This is a long non-coding RNA of Zea mays, 641 nucleotides long. RefSeq lists it as uncharacterized. Lineage: Eukaryota; Viridiplantae; Streptophyta; Magnoliopsida; Poales; Poaceae. The transcript has 3 exons. The record is from RefSeq and is a predicted model, not a curated record.
AGAUGCAUUUUGGAAAGCAGGUGUCUUUCCAAAUUUCCUAAAAAUUUGCGUCACGGUGUCAAAAAAAAUUCAGAACAUCCUAACAAGCUGCAGCCGGAAAGGGUAGAUAAGUUUGGUCUUGAUGCUUUAAACGAGAAUGUUGAAGGUUAAAUGCAUAAUCCUGAUCAAGAGCAUAAUCAUGAGCAGUGAAUCAUGCUCAGUUAAGAAGGUUACUGAUUUCUAGGGCUACACUUAUGUUUCAUUAACGGCAAAAAAUGUUGUUGAUUUCAUAAGCAGCAUCAGAAAGAACCAUGUUGUCAUUAUUUCAAGUUUAGAUUCUGCAAAGAGGAGGGUAAUUGAUGCAUCCAGGUAACUGAAAUGUCUAGCUUCAGCAAUCUCAUUGUUGCUUGAAUGUUUAGGCGCUUUUACAAUUUCUCGCCUGCAUCAAUUAAUCUAUGAGCCUUAUCUUUACGUUUCACCAGAAGAUGGUAAAAAGGAUGCUGGGUUGACAUAUGGACAUAGUUCUGAUAAGGAUGCCACUGUUCUUUCAAUGUUGAUGUAAUGAAAAUCCUUUGAUGAUAUAGAUGUGUAUUAUCUUUUGGAGCUGUACUAAAGUCUAUCGGACUACGUUGUUUUAUUAAAACUAAAUCUGGACAUAGCCA